CCUACGGGAGGCAGCAGUGAGGAAUAUUGGUCAAUGGGCGGAAGCCUGAACCAGCCAAGUCGCGUGAGGGAUUAAGGCCCUGCGGGUCGUAAACCUCUUUUGCCGGGGAGCAGAGGUCCGGACGUGUCCGGGCCGGGAGAGUACCCGGAGAAAAAGCAUCGGCUAACUCCGUGCCAGCAGCCGCGGUAAUACGGAGGAUGCGAGCGUUAUCCGGAUUUAUUGGGUUUAAAGGGUGCGCAGGCGGCGAGUUAAGUCAGCGGUAAAAUUUCGGGGCUCAACCCCGACAAGCCGUUGAAACUGGCUUGCUAGAGUGGGCGAGAAGUAUGCGGAAUGCGUGGUGUAGCGGUGAAAUGCAUAGAUAUCACGCAGAACUCCGAUUGCGAAGGCAGUAUACCGGCGCCCAACUGACGCUCAGGCACGAAAGCGUGGGUAUCGAACAGGAUUAGAUACCCUUGUAGUC
RNAcentral lists this ribosomal RNA (460 nucleotides) under uncultured bacterium. RNAcentral describes it as "partial 16S ribosomal RNA". It matches the Rfam family "Bacterial small subunit ribosomal RNA", at positions 338 to 795 of the family's 1533-position model. The record is from RNAcentral.